UUCCAAUUUUAUGGGCGCACGGGGUGAGUAACACGUGGGUAAUCUGCCCAACAGCUCGGGAUAACCAUUGGAAACGUGGGCUAAUACCGGAUACGAACUAGUUUUAUCGUUAGUUGAAAGGAGGCCUCUGCUUGCAAGCUUUCACUGUUGGAUGAGCCCGCGGCUCAUUAGGUAGUUGGUGGGGUAACAGCCUACCAAGCCUGUGAUGAGUAACCGGCCUGAGAGGGUGAACGGUCACACUGGGACUGGAACACGGCCCAGACUCCUACGGGAGGCAGCAGUGGGGAAUAUCGCGCAAUGGACGAAAGUCUGACGCAGCGACGCCGCGUGAGGGAUGAAGGCCUUCGGGUCGUAAACCUCUGUCAGGAGGAAAGAACUGCACGGGUGCUAAUCAGCCCGUGUUUGACGGUACCUCCAGAGGAAGCACCGGCUAACUCCGUGCCAGCAGCCGCGGUAAUACGGAGGGUGCAAGCGUUAAUCGGAAUCACUGGGCGUAAAGCGCGCGUAGGCGGUGAUGAAAGUCAGUGGUGAAAGCCCCCAGCUUAACUGGGGAAUUGCCAUUGAAACUGCAUUGCUUGAGUAUGUGAGAGGAUAGUGGAAUUCCUGGUGUAGGAGUGAAAUCCGUAGAUAUCAGGAGGAAUACCAGUGGCGAAGGCGACUUUCUGGACACAAACUGACGCUGAGGUACGAAAGCAUGGGGAGCAAACAGGAUUAGAUACCCUGGUAGUCCAUGCCGUAAACGAUGAAUGCUAGGUGUCGGGGGUCAAACCUCGGUGCCGCAG
This 782-nucleotide ribosomal RNA is filed under the name uncultured bacterium. RNAcentral describes it as "bacterial SSU rRNA". It matches the Rfam family "Bacterial small subunit ribosomal RNA", at positions 84 to 851 of the family's 1533-position model. The record is from RNAcentral.